AAUGAACGUUGGCGGCGUGGAUUAGGCAUGCAAGUCGUACGGGCCGCAAGGCCAGUGGCGCAAGGGUGAGUAAGGCGACGGUAACCAACCCCGUGAUUGGGCAUAGCCGCGGGAAACUGCGGGUAAUUCCCAGCGACGUCCGAGGGGGGCAUCCCCUCCGGACCAAAGCUCCGGCGUCGCGGGACGGGCUGUCGUGGUAUUAGCUGGUUGGCGGGGUAACGGCCCACCAAGGCUCUGAUGCCUACCGGGCGUGCGAGCGUGGCCCGGCACACUGGGACUGAGACACUGCCCAGACUCCUACGGGAGGCUGCAGUCGAGAAUCUUCGGCAAUGGGCGCAAGCCUGACCGAGCGACGCCGCGUGGAGGACGAAGGCCUUCGGGCUGUAAACUCCUGUCGAGGGGGAAGAAGGGGUCGCAAGGCCCUUGACUGAUCCCUGGAGGAAGCACGGGCUAAGUUCGUGCCAGCAGCCGCGGUAAGACGAACCGUGCGAACGUUAUUCGGAAUCACUGGGCUUAAAGCGCGUGUAGGCGGGCCGGCACGUCGGUCGUUGAAAUCCCCCGGCUCAACCGGGGAAGCGGCGCCGAUACGACCGGCCUCGAGGGACGUAGGGGGGGCUGGAACUUCCGGUGGAGCGGUGAAAUGCGUUGAGAUCGGAAGGAACGCCCGUGGCGAAAGCGAGCCCCUGGACGUCUACUGACGCUGAGACGCGAAAGCCAGGGGAGCGAACGGGAUUAGAUACCCCGGUAGUCCUGGCCGUAAACGAUGGGCACUGGGUAGGGGGCUCGCCGAUGGGCUCCCUGCCGUAGGAAACCGUGAGUGCCC
This 823-nucleotide ribosomal RNA is filed under the name uncultured bacterium. Its description in RNAcentral is "bacterial SSU rRNA". It matches the Rfam family "Bacterial small subunit ribosomal RNA", at positions 28 to 869 of the family's 1533-position model. The record is from RNAcentral.